UCCGGUUGAUCCUGCCGGACCCGACUGCUAUUUGGGUGAGAAUAAGCCAUGCGAGUCGAAUGGGAUACCUAAAUCUCCCAUGGCAAACUGCUCAGUAACACAUGAUCAACUUACCCUACAGAGAAAAAUAACCUCGGGAAACUGAGGAUAAUGUUUCAUAGUUGAAUAGGCUUGGAAAAGUUUUUCAAUAAAAGGGAUAAGGAAAAUGGUCCUUAUCCGCUAUAGGAUAGGAUCGUGUUCGAUUAUGGUUGUUGGUGAGGUAACGGCUCACCAAGCCGAUAAUCGAUAGGGGCCGUGAGAGCGGGAGCCCCGAGAUGGGUACUGAGACAACGACCCAGGCCUUACGAGGCGCAGCAGGCGCGGAACCUCCGCAAUACACGAAAGUGUGACGGGGUUACCCAAAGUGCUCUUUCUAGAGCUGUGGUAGGUGAGUAAUGUUCCCUACUAGAAAGGAGAGGGCAAGGCUGGUGCCAGCCGCCGCGGUAAAACCAGCUCUUCAAGUGGUCGGGAUAAUUAUUGGGCUUAAAGUGUCCGUAGCCGGUUUAGAAAGUUCCUGGUAAAAUCGGGUAGCUUAACUAUCCGUAUGCUAGGAAUACUGCUAUACUAGAGGGCGGGAGAGGUCUGAGGUACUACAGGGGUAGGGGUGAAAUCUUAUAAUCCUUGUAGGACCACCAGUGGCGAAGGCGUCAGACUGGAACGCGCCUGACGGUGAGGGACGAAAGCCAGGGGAGCAAACCGGAUUAGAUACCCCUGUAGUCC
This 759-nucleotide ribosomal RNA is filed under the name uncultured archaeon. RNAcentral's name for it is "bacterial SSU rRNA". It matches the Rfam family "Archaeal small subunit ribosomal RNA", at positions 1 to 747 of the family's 1478-position model. The record is from RNAcentral.